This is a long non-coding RNA of Ipomoea triloba (trilobed morning glory), 1455 nucleotides long. RefSeq lists it as uncharacterized. Lineage: Eukaryota; Viridiplantae; Streptophyta; Magnoliopsida; Solanales; Convolvulaceae. The record is from RefSeq and is a predicted model, not a curated record. The transcript has 8 exons.
ACUUCAGAGUUCAGACGUCGCUCAUUAUCGCUAAACACAUCCGAAAACCUAGCUAGCCGAACACAGUCCACCGCCUUCGCCCACCAUCUCCGCCUUCGCCGUCGACCAGAUUGCCCACCGCCGUCGACCCAGCCGCCGCCCAGUUCGCCAACUGCCUUCGCCCACCGUCUCCUUAGCCGCCGUCUCCUCCGCUUUCUCUGUUCAUGCUUCGCAGUCGUCGUCCCAGCCGCCGUCGCAUCCCAGCUGCCGUCGGAUCGCCUGGGUCUCAGCCGUUGCUCGUCGCCUGUCAUCGUAGCCCUCAAUUGUCGCUCGUCGCCGUUGCCGCACCGUCGCCGCUACUUCAUACGUCAUCGUCUCUAAUAUAGGUGUAAUGUAAUAUACUCAUUAUCGCAACGUCUGAGCUCAGAAUACUUGUGGAGUUCCUCCAAGUUAGAGGAUUUCAAUUGGAUAUUUUUUCUCAUCAAUUCUGGAGAUUUGGCUUGUUAACAACAUCUCUGCUGAAUGAAAUUUGUGAGGACAUACUGGCUUCAGGCUUAUGCAUUCUCUUUGGGAAUUUAAAGUAGAUACUGCCAGCAACAGUCAGUAGUACCACAGUAUGGAUCUACUACACAAACUGUUCAUUGUAAUGUGAGGGGAUGUCUUGAUCCUCCAUGCAAUGCAGUUGGCUUCAUUGAUUGACUUAUUCUUGGUGAAAGUCAUCUCUAUCAACACCCCAUCUACAAAAGAACCAAGGAAUGCAGUAUCAAUUCCCUUGAUUAUGGAGUUAUGCCCUCUCUAUCCCUCUACCUCUUCCUUUAUUUUUAUUUUAAAUUGUUUAAAGUUUAGUUUAGCCUUAGCCCUUAUGCAAUUGCAAUUUUAGAGCUUAGUUUUGUCCUACUUUUACUGGCAUAAGCUGUGAGCAAAAUUAAUUUUGACCGUAGUUCAACUUUGAGUGCUCCUUUUUCCUUUUUUCCCUUAAUCCAAAUGUUUUCCUCUUCUCCAUUUUAAUUGAAAAUUUUCAAUUCUUUAAUGGCUGCCAUAACAUGCCUUGUUGGAUUACAUUAUGGGCACAUUCUUAUUCAGGUCAAGGGUCACAAGCAAAGGAUAAUAUUUUGGUCCAUAUUCUCCCUCCCACUACUGAUUGUUGGACUUGUGCUGGUGGUUGUAGGUUAAAAAAUGACCAUGGACUGUCCAACCUCAUCCCAAGACUUUGAUUUUGUAUUCUACAUUCCAAGACUUUCAGCCAAGGGGUCCUUUGCUCUAUGGGAUUUGAAGGUGCAAUAACAAAAGUGGCCAAAGACUUUGUAGCUUUCAAUUAUUUUUAAUUUGGAAUUGUAAAUUUGUAAUUUCAUGGAUUAUUUUUUAGUUUUAUUGUAAUAGGAAUUGUAAUUUCGUAGUGUUUGUAUUGAGAGUUACAAUGUGUAAAAAGGAAUUAUUGUUUUUUUUAAGGAGUAUCUACGUCUGUUGUACAAAAAA